RNAcentral lists this non-coding RNA (22 nucleotides) under Arabidopsis thaliana (thale cress). The record is from RNAcentral. Lineage: Eukaryota; Viridiplantae; Streptophyta; Magnoliopsida; Brassicales; Brassicaceae.
UAUAAUCUCGGGUUAAAUGGUC